RNAcentral lists this long non-coding RNA (283 nucleotides) under Mytilus galloprovincialis (Mediterranean mussel). The record is from RNAcentral. Lineage: Eukaryota; Metazoa; Mollusca; Bivalvia; Mytilida; Mytilidae.
GCAUUCUGUUACAAUUAUUUCUUGUUGUUCAUACAUUUGGCUGUUAGUAUUUUUGUUUGAAUUAUUUUACAUUUUUCAUGCAGAACCUUUUAUACAUUGGAGCUUGCUAUGCAUAUGAUAUGGUUUUGCUAAUUUUUGAAGGUUGCUAACUUCUAUGUCAUUUGGUCUUGGGAGGCAAAUUGUAUCAUUGCAACCAUACCAAAUCUUCUCAUUUUUAGAUCAAAGCGAUCACUGUUUAAGAUAAAUCUGAAUUUCUGCUAGAAAAUAUAAAGAUAGAUACGAG